RNAcentral lists this ribosomal RNA (421 nucleotides) under uncultured archaeon. RNAcentral's name for it is "bacterial SSU rRNA". It matches the Rfam family "Archaeal small subunit ribosomal RNA", at positions 578 to 997 of the family's 1478-position model. The record is from RNAcentral.
CGGGUACUGCCAGACUUGGAACCGGGAGAGGUAAGAGGUACUACAGGGGUAGGAGUGAAAUCUUGUAAUCCCUGUGGGACCACCUGUGGCGAAGGCGUCUUACCAGAACGGGUUCGACGGUGAGGGACGAAAGCUGGGGGCACGAACCGGAUUAGAUACCCGGGUAGUCCCAGCCGUAAACGAUGCUCGCUAGGUGUCAGGCAUGGCGCGACCGUGUCUGGUGCCGCAGGGAAGCCGUGAAGCGAGCCACCUGGGAAGUACGGCCGCAAGGCUGAAACUUAAAGGAAUUGGCGGGGGAGCACAACAACGGGUGGAGCCCUGCGGUUUAAUUGGACUCAACGCCGGACAACUCACCGGGGGCGACAGCAAUAUGUAGGCCAAGCUGAAGACUUUGCCUGAAUCGCUGAGAAGAGGUGCAUGG